UACGUAGGUGACCAGCGUUGUCCGGAUUUACUGGGCGUAAAGGGCGCGUAGGCGGCCUUCUAAGUCGAACGUGAAAUCCCAGGGCUCAACCCUGGACCUGCAGUGGGUACGGGCAGACUAGAGUGCGGUAGGGGAGAUCGGAAUUCCUGGUGUAGCGGUGAAAUGCGCAGAUAUCAGGAGGGACACCGGUGGCGAAGGCGGAUCUCUGGGCCGUAACUGACGCUGAGGAGCGAAAACAUGGGGAGCGAACAGG
This 253-nucleotide ribosomal RNA is filed under the name uncultured bacterium. Its description in RNAcentral is "partial 16S ribosomal RNA". It matches the Rfam family "Bacterial small subunit ribosomal RNA", at positions 524 to 776 of the family's 1533-position model. The record is from RNAcentral.